GGGAGUGUAACUCAGUGGUGCAGUGUGUGAUUAGCAUGCACCAGGCCCUGGGUUCAAUCCCCAGCACCCA
This is a non-coding RNA of Ictidomys tridecemlineatus (thirteen-lined ground squirrel), 70 nucleotides long. The record is from Rfam. Lineage: Eukaryota; Metazoa; Chordata; Mammalia; Rodentia; Sciuridae.